AUUACACGUGAAUGUUAUAUGAUAUAUGAUAUAUGACAUAUGUGUGUUUCAUAGUGUAAUUUAAAUGGUUUGUGGAGUGUGUACUUAACUGUGUGCAUUAAUAUCAGUGUUCUUUAGCCUGUUAUUCCAUUUGGGCAGAGGGUUUUAUUUAGGCAAUGUUAGAGUAAAAAUAUUUGCAAGUCUGGGUUAGGUAGUAGAGGGGGUGACAUAGCAAAUUUUAGAUUUUUUUUGGAGAUUCUGAUGUUGUUUCCAUUUUUUAUUAAAGUCGUUGUAAUGAGUAGCUUGGAAAUGUGGUCAUUUGAAUUAAAGGUUCUCCUUUCAGGUCUUCCACAUCCAAAGUUAGAUUGGUGACUAAGUGACAACAGAGAACCCAUAUGUUGUUAUUCUUGGGGACAAGAGUACAAUUAGGGGUGGAAGUGGCAAGGUCAUCAACAACAAAGCAGAGGAUAGAAUAUUUGUAUAUUACUUGAUCAUGGAGGCCCUGAAGUUCAUGAGAGAAGAGGAGGAAUUAAAGGGAAACAAUCAGCCAAUGUGGAUUGAAGAACAAAGAGAUGUGAAUGAGGAGCAUCACAAUGAUAUCAAACUUUCAGUUUGUAGAAAUCAUGUUUAAGUUUGUGUUUAGAGACUAGCUAGGAUGACGGUAUAAAACUUGAUGGGAAUGAAGGUUGCGAAGGUGUUGUGGAAUGCUAAAAGUUGCAGUUGUCCACCAGCCUGUUUCUGUUGCAACCGAUGCCGGAGGCUAUGCAUGUUUUUCACAAUUAUGUAUUUAUCUCAUUUUGCUAUGUUGUCUAAACUAUUUGCCUCUUUAAUGCACAAACAAUUGUCCAUUUAGACA
This is a long non-coding RNA of Vicia villosa (hairy vetch), 835 nucleotides long. RefSeq lists it as uncharacterized. The record is from RefSeq and is a predicted model, not a curated record. Lineage: Eukaryota; Viridiplantae; Streptophyta; Magnoliopsida; Fabales; Fabaceae. The transcript is spliced from 2 exons.